Long non-coding RNA from Peromyscus maniculatus bairdii (prairie deer mouse), 444 nucleotides. RefSeq lists it as uncharacterized. The record is from RefSeq and is a predicted model, not a curated record. Lineage: Eukaryota; Metazoa; Chordata; Mammalia; Rodentia; Cricetidae.
CAUCACUAUCCUCCAAGGCUAUUUACCAGAAAGGACAGAGGCAAUCAGGGCCUCUGCUCUCCUGACACACAGGAAGGUGAGACAUCCAUGAGGAAUCGUCACCUGACAUGAUGAGAAAGUUGCAAGAAAAUACAUCAAGAAUGAAAAUCACAAUGGAUGAAGAUGCUGUGUAAGGAAGACACUACCUGUUCCUUCAAGCUUCCUUCAGAGCCUCUUGGAACACUUGCCUGUGACACUCAGCUUCUAGGCUUUGAAGAGGCCCAGGAAAGCAUGUGGAAAGAUCUACAUGGAAAGAACCGAGGUCCCCAACUGACAGGCUAGUUGAGUAACCAUCCAAGAGCCAGUGGCACUUAGACAAAUCUGACUAAACCACUUUGAGUCACACCAGCUGACACUAUGUGGAACAAAGUAAAGCUGUCCCUGUUGCAUCUUCCUCCAACUGAA